CCGGCACGGGUGAGUAACACGUAUGCAAUCCACCUGUAACAGGGGAGUAACCCGGAGAAAUCCGGACUAAUACCCCAUAAUAUGGGCGCUCCGCAUGGAGAGUCCAUUAAAGAGAGCAAUUUUGGUUACAGACGAGCAUGCGCUCCAUUAGCCAGUUGGCGGGGUAACGGCCCACCAAAGCGACGAUGGAUAGGGGUUCUGAGAGGAAGGUCCCCCACAUUGGAACUGAGACACGGUCCAA
RNAcentral lists this ribosomal RNA (241 nucleotides) under uncultured bacterium. RNAcentral's name for it is "partial 16S ribosomal RNA". It matches the Rfam family "Bacterial small subunit ribosomal RNA", at positions 100 to 334 of the family's 1533-position model. The record is from RNAcentral.